Molecule: ribosomal RNA, 468 nt
Filed under: uncultured bacterium
Lineage: Bacteria
Description: partial 16S ribosomal RNA
Rfam family: Bacterial small subunit ribosomal RNA
Source: RNAcentral
GACGAACGCUGGCGGCGUGCUGAACACAUGCAAGUCGAACGGAAAGGCCCUGCUUUGGUUGGGUGCUCGAGUGGCGAACGGGUGAGUAACACGUGAGUAACCUGCCCGUGACUUUGGGAUAACUUCAGGAAACUGGGGCUAAUACCGGAUAGGAGCUCCUGCUGCAUGGUGGGGGUUGGAAAGUUUCGGCGGUUGGGGAUGGACUCGCGGCUUAUCAGCUUGUUGGUGGGGUAGUGGCUUACCAAGGAUUUGACGGGUAGCCGGCCUGAGAGGGUGACCGGACACAUUGGGACUGAGAUACGGCCCAGCCUCCUACGCGCGGCAGCAGUGGGGAAUAUUGCACAAUGGGCGGAAGCCUGAUGCAGCAACGCCGCGUGCGGGAUGACGGCCUUCGGGUUGUAAACCGCUUUCGCCUGUGACGAAGCGUGUGUGACGGUAAUGGGUAGAGAAGCACCGGCUAACUACGUG